CAGGCUGCCUCGCUAAACGAUGCACACCUGUAACUCACGUGACCCUGGUUAUUAUUGAAACAAGAACGAGGGCGUCGUGCCUUUAUAAGACUGCGUUAAUAGUUCCGUAGAGUUAUCCCUUCCGUUGUUGUUUAUUGAUUGUUAAACAUGGCGUCAUUUGCAAAGGUGGUUGUGUGUGUCCUCAUUGCUUGUGACUGUAAUGCAUUCGGUUUUCCGAAGAGAGAUGUGAACUUAAAGGCCUCUGCAGUUGACCGCCAAAGUGAUGAUGUGGUUGUCACCACAACACCCGUUCCCCACAACCAGACCACCUCUGCCCCUACUGAAGCUGGUGGUGCAAGUGAAGAUGCUGUGGCUACUACCCCAGCACCUAAUCCACACAACCAGACAACUUCUGCACAAACUGAAGUUACUGAUGGGGCCAGUGAAGAUGCUGUGGACCGCCAAAGUGAUGAUGUGGUUGUCGCCACAACACCCAAUCCCCACAACCAGACCACAUCUGUAGCUGGUGGAGAUGGAGCAAGUGAAGAUGAUGCAGAUGCAGAUGAAGAUGAUGCAGAUGAAGAUGAUGAUUCAGCAAGUGAAGAUGCUGUGGCUACCACCCCAACACCAAAUCCCCCAACUACAUCUGACCACACUGCAGCUACCGAUGAUGCAAGUGAGGGUGCUGUGGCUGCCCAAACUGGAGCUACUGUAUCCCAUACGACUGAAGUCUGAUUCGACUGCUCCUCUGGUCACAAUGACCUGUCUGGACUUUUUGCCUCUACAUGUUGACUGCAAUAAAGGACAGAUUUGUAUUUUUUAAUCAAAUGUUGUCUUGCCUUUUUCAAAUUGAGGCCUUGUCCUGUUUUGGUAGUGGAGAUGACUAUGAAGCCUCUUUCCUAACGUAUUUCCUGUAGUGGUUUUACUAUAUGCUUCAUGCAACAAGGCCUUCAACGACUCUACAAUUUAAAAGCAUCUAGUUUUGUCUGAAUUUGUAAAAUGGUUGAACUGGUAGUGAUGCAC
Clupea harengus (Atlantic herring) is the source of this 1002-nucleotide long non-coding RNA. The record is from Ensembl. Lineage: Eukaryota; Metazoa; Chordata; Actinopteri; Clupeiformes; Clupeidae.